UGGGGCGUAGCCAAGCGGUAAGGCACGCGGUUCUGGUCCGCGCAUGCGUAGGUUCGAAUCCUACCGCCCCAGCCA
Molecule: transfer RNA, 75 nt
Filed under: bacterium
Lineage: Bacteria
Description: tRNA-Gln
Rfam family: tRNA
About the family: Transfer RNA (tRNA) molecules are approximately 80 nucleotides in length. Their secondary structure includes four short double-helical elements and three loops (D, anti-codon, and T loops).
Source: RNAcentral